This 73-nucleotide transfer RNA is filed under the name Rickettsiales bacterium. RNAcentral's name for it is "tRNA-Phe". It matches the Rfam family "tRNA". From Rfam's summary of the family: Transfer RNA (tRNA) molecules are approximately 80 nucleotides in length. Their secondary structure includes four short double-helical elements and three loops (D, anti-codon, and T loops). The record is from RNAcentral. Lineage: Bacteria; Pseudomonadati; Pseudomonadota; Alphaproteobacteria; Rickettsiales.
GCUUAAAUAGCUCAGUUGGUAGAGUAGUGGAUUGAAAAUCCAUAGGUCAGUGGUUCGAAUCCGCUUUUAAGCA